AUCUACUGACCUGGUUGAAGGAAUGAUAUCCACUGAUGAUAUCUAUGAUGAUAUCUAGCGAUGAUAUCUAGCAAUGAUAUAUCGAUCCAGCAAUGAUGUAUACCGAUGAUAAUGUAUACCGAUGAUAUGUACCGAUGGUAUCAAUGAUGAUAUCUAACAACGAUACCUUGCGAGGAUAUCUAGCAAUGAUAUCUAGCGAUGAUAUUGCUUAAUAGCAACAUAAUGAAUAAUAUGACUUCGCACUUUUGCUCCGUCUUGGCCCAGUUGCAUGUUUCAUGAAGCCCCUGCUAUAUAGUGUUGUGCCUGAGCCUUCCAACCCUUUGGAGGAAUUAAAGAUGUCUUCAUCCCCUGGGAUUUAUUGAAUUGUUAUUCUUUAUAAUAAAAAUAAA
Molecule: small RNA, 389 nt
Filed under: Histoplasma capsulatum
Lineage: Eukaryota; Fungi; Ascomycota; Eurotiomycetes; Onygenales; Ajellomycetaceae
Also listed under: 1 other name
Description: hypothetical RNA
Source: RNAcentral